This is a long non-coding RNA of Ipomoea nil (Japanese morning glory), 372 nucleotides long. RefSeq lists it as uncharacterized. The transcript has 2 exons. NCBI's taxonomy places the organism in Eukaryota, Viridiplantae, Streptophyta, Magnoliopsida, Solanales, Convolvulaceae. The record is from RefSeq and is a predicted model, not a curated record.
AAGGAAUUAAUCUCGAUACCUCUUAUAGAGAAUCUCAAACAUAUGUCACUAGACUACAAUGUUCUUGCCUCCUUGGCGCAUACACUCCAUGUCCAAUUGUGCAUACAAUAUGAAGAAAGUUGGACAGAAGUAUAAAUUGCAACCAUGGCACUGUCCAAGGUUCCAUGGUGUAGUGGUUAGCACUCUGGACUUUGAAUCUAGCGACCUGGGUUCGACUCCCGGUGGGACCUAUUUGCAAUGUCUAAGUAUAAUUUGCUCAUCCUUAAUUAUAUUUUAUGUUCUUAGAAGGGCUUGGACUUUAUGUUGGAGCUUGACUCAAUUAACUUGUAGUCCGAUUAAACAUACGAUAUAAUCAAGUUUAUGAACUUUUAA